This 25-nucleotide ribosomal RNA is filed under the name Tomentellopsis zygodesmoides. RNAcentral's name for it is "partial 28S ribosomal RNA". The record is from RNAcentral. Lineage: Eukaryota; Fungi; Basidiomycota; Agaricomycetes; Thelephorales; Thelephoraceae.
UUCGACCUCAAAUCAGGUAGGACUA